RNAcentral lists this ribosomal RNA (253 nucleotides) under uncultured bacterium. RNAcentral describes it as "partial 16S ribosomal RNA". It matches the Rfam family "Bacterial small subunit ribosomal RNA", at positions 524 to 776 of the family's 1533-position model. The record is from RNAcentral.
UACGAAGGGGGCUAGCGUUGCUCGGAAUCACUGGGCGUAAAGGGCGUGUAGGCGGGUAGAUAAGUCGGGCGUGAAAUCCCUAGGCUCAACCUAGGAACUGCACUCGAAACUGUUUAUCUUGAGUGCCGGAGAGGAAAGCGGAAUUCCUGGUGUAGAGGUGAAAUUCGUAGAUAUCAGGAGGAACACCAGUGGCGAAGGCGGCUUUCUGGACGGUAACUGACGCUGAGACGCGAAAGCGUGGGGAGCAAACAGG